RNAcentral lists this long non-coding RNA (205 nucleotides) under Homo sapiens (human). RNAcentral's name for it is "HSALNT0234291". The record is from RNAcentral. Lineage: Eukaryota; Metazoa; Chordata; Mammalia; Primates; Hominidae.
CCAGACUGCACCCUGCCUGAGCUGUUUCUCUCAUGGACCAACCACCACUGCUAUGACCACGGUUAGCACUGAUGGGGACGUCUACUUUCCAUCGGGAGCUCCACAGAGACCACAAGCAGCACAUGGAAAAAUUCACCCACUGAGAUGGCACAGCUCCCUGAAAAACUGGACCUGCAGAUCCCUUCUUCCUGUAAGAGGAUCGAAG